AGCGGCCGCGGUAAUUCCAGCUCCAAUAGCGUAUAUUAAAGUUGUUGCAGUUAAAAAGCUCGUAGUUGAAUUUCGGGGUUAGUAGGUUGGUCAUGCCUCUGGUAUGUACUGGUCUCACUGAUUCCUCCUUCCUGAUGAGCCGUAAUGCCAUUAAUUUGGUGUUGCGGGGAAUUUGGACUGUUACUUUGAAAAAAUUUAGAGUGUUUAAAGCAAGCUAACGCUUGAAUACAUUAGCAUGGAAUAAUGAAAUAGGACGUUUGAUUCUAUUUUGUUGGUUUCUAGGAUCGACGUAAUGAUUAAUAGGGAUAGUUGGGGGCAUUAGUAUUCAAUUGUCAGAGGUGAAAUUCUUGGAUUUAUUGAAGACUAACUACUGCGAAAGUAUUUGCCAAGGAUGUUUUCAUUAAUCAAGAACGAAAGUUAGGGGAUCGAAGACGAUCAGAUACCGUCGUAGUCUUAACCAUAAACUAUGCCGACUAGGGAUCGGAUGAUGUUAAUUUUUUAAUGAUUCAUUCGGCGCCUU
RNAcentral lists this ribosomal RNA (520 nucleotides) under uncultured Glomus. RNAcentral's name for it is "SSU rRNA". It matches the Rfam family "Eukaryotic small subunit ribosomal RNA", at positions 569 to 1089 of the family's 1831-position model. Lineage: Eukaryota; Fungi; Glomeromycota; Glomeromycetes; Glomerales; Glomeraceae. The record is from RNAcentral.